Molecule: small nuclear RNA, 157 nt
Filed under: Zea mays
Lineage: Eukaryota; Viridiplantae; Streptophyta; Magnoliopsida; Poales; Poaceae
Description: U2 spliceosomal RNA
Rfam family: U2 spliceosomal RNA
About the family: U2 is a small nuclear RNA (snRNA) component of the spliceosome (involved in pre-mRNA splicing). Complementary binding between U2 snRNA (in an area lying towards the 5' end but 3' to hairpin I) and the branchpoint sequence (BPS) of the intron results the bulging out of an unpaired adenosine, on the BPS, which initiates a nucleophilic attack at the intronic 5' splice site, thus starting the first of two transesterification reactions that mediate splicing.
Source: Rfam by way of RNAcentral
AUACAUUUCUCAGCCUUUUAGCUAAGGUGUAAUAUUUGUGCUUAUUAGUUUAAUAUCUGAUAUGUGAACCAUAUGUUCACUCUGAUGUUAAAUUUAUUUUUUUAUUUUAUGGAUAUUAAAUAUAUUUGUGUGUCGUUGCAACGCACGGGCACUCACC